UAGGGAAUCUUCGGCAAUGGACGAAAGUCUGACCGAGCAACGCCGCGUGAGUGAAGAAGGUUUUCGGAUCGUAAAACUCUGUUGUUAGAGAAGAACAAGGACGUUAGUAACUGAACGUCCCCUGACGGUAUCUAACCAGAAAGCCACGGCUAACUACGUGCCAGCAGCCGCGGUAAUACGUAGGUGGCAAGCGUUGUCCGGAUUUAUUGGGCGUAAAGCGAGCGCAGGCGGUUUCUUAAGUCUGAUGUGAAAGCCCCCGGCUCAACCGGGGAGGGUCAUUGGAAACUGGGAGACUUGAGUGCAGAAGAGGAGAGUGGAAUUCCAUGUGUAGCGGUGAAAUGCGUAGAUAUAUGGAGGAACACCAGUGGCGAAGGCGGCUCUCUGGUCUGUAACUGACGCAGAGGCUCGAAAGCGUGGGGAGCAAACAGG
Molecule: ribosomal RNA, 429 nt
Filed under: Chloroflexota bacterium
Lineage: Bacteria; Bacillati; Chloroflexota
Also listed under: 1 other name
Description: Chloroflexi bacterium partial 16S ribosomal RNA
Rfam family: Bacterial small subunit ribosomal RNA
Source: RNAcentral